This 465-nucleotide ribosomal RNA is filed under the name uncultured bacterium. Its description in RNAcentral is "partial 16S ribosomal RNA". It matches the Rfam family "Bacterial small subunit ribosomal RNA", at positions 338 to 795 of the family's 1533-position model. The record is from RNAcentral.
CCUACGGGUGGCAGCAGUGAGGAAUAUUGGUCAAUGGGCGAAAGCCUGACGCAGCGACGCCGCGUGAGGGAUGAAGGUCUUCGGAUCGUAAACCUCUGUCAGCAGGGAAGAACGGUCACUGUGCUAAUCAGCAGUGAAUUGACGGUACCUGCAAAGGAAGCACCGGCUAACUCCGUGCCAGCAGCCGCGGUAAUACGGAGGGUGCGAGCGUUAAUCGGAAUUACUGGGCGUAAAGCGCUCGUAGGCGGUAUGUCAAGUCAAGGGUGAAAUCCCCGCGCUCAACGUGGGAACUGCCUUAGAAACUGGCAAACUGGAGUGUGUGAGAGGAUAGUGGAAUUCCAGGUGUAGGAGUGAAAUGCGUAGAUAUCUGGAGGAACAUCAGUGGCGAAGGCGACUAUCUGGCACAUAACUGACGCUGAGGAGCGAAAGCGUGGGUAGCAAACAGGAUUAGAUACCCCAGUAGUC